GGAUCCAGACUUUGAUUCUGGCUCAGGAUGAACGCUAGCUACAGGCUUAACACAUGCAAGUCGAGGGGAAACGACAUCGAAAGCUUGCUUUUGAUGGGCGUCGACCGGCGCACGGGUGAGUAACGCGUAUCCAACCUGCCCACCACUUGGGGAUAACCUUGCGAAAGUAAGACUAAUACCCAAUGACGUCUCUAGAAGACAUCUGAAAGAGAUUAAAGAUUUAUCGGUGAUGGAUGGGGAUGCGUCUGAUUAGCUUGUUGGCGGGGUAACGGCCCACCAAGGCUACGAUCAGUAGGGGUUCUGAGAGGAAGGUCCCCCACAUUGGAACUGAGACACGGUCCAAACUCCUACGGGAGGCAGCAGUGAGGAAUAUUGGUCAAUGGACGAGAGUCUGAACCAGCCAAGUAGCGUGCAGGAUGACGGCCCUAUGGGUUGUAAACUGCUUUUAUAAGGGAAUAAAGUGAGUCUCGUGAGACUUUUUGCAUGUACCUUAUGAAUAAGGACCGGCUAAUUCCGUGCCAGCAGCCGCGGUAAUACGGAAGGUCCGGGCGUUAUCCGGAUUUAUUGGGUUUAAAGGGAGCGUAGGCCGGAGAUUAAGCGUGUUGUGAAAUGUAGAUGCUCAACAUCUGCACUGCAGCGCGAACUGGUUUCCUUGAGUACGCACAAAGUGGGCGGAAUUCGUGGUGUAGCGGUGAAAUGCUUAGAUAUCACGAAGAACUCCGACUGCGAAGGCAGCUCACUGGAGCGCAACUGACGCUGAAGCUCGAAAGUGCGGGUAUCGAACAGGAUUAGAUACCCUGGUAGUCCGCACGGUAAACGAUGGAUGCCCGCUGGUGGUCUGAAUAGGUCAGCGGCCAAGCGAAAGCAUUAAGCAUCCCACCUGGGGAGUACGCCGGCAACGGUGCAACUCAAAUGAAUUGACGG
Molecule: ribosomal RNA, 924 nt
Filed under: uncultured Bacteroidota bacterium
Lineage: Bacteria; Pseudomonadati; Bacteroidota
Description: bacterial SSU rRNA
Rfam family: Bacterial small subunit ribosomal RNA
Source: RNAcentral